Triticum aestivum (bread wheat) is the source of this 125-nucleotide non-coding RNA. The record is from Rfam. Lineage: Eukaryota; Viridiplantae; Streptophyta; Magnoliopsida; Poales; Poaceae.
UAUGUACUCCCUCCGUCCCAAAAUACUUGUCGGAGAAAUGAAUAAAAAUGGAUGUAUCUAAAACUAAGAUAUAUCUAGAUACAUCCAUUCCUUCGACAAGUAUUUUCGGACGGAGGGAGUAUGUC